This 477-nucleotide ribosomal RNA is filed under the name uncultured organism. RNAcentral describes it as "partial 16S ribosomal RNA". It matches the Rfam family "Bacterial small subunit ribosomal RNA", at positions 331 to 799 of the family's 1533-position model. The record is from RNAcentral.
GUACACUCCUACGGGAGGCAGCAGUGGGGAAUUUUGGACAAUGGGCGAAAGCCUGAUCCAGCAAUGCCGCGUGAGUGAAGAAGGCCUUCGGGUUGUAAAGCUCUUUUGUCAGGGAAGAAACGGUGAAAGCUAAUAUCUUUUGCUAAUGACGGUACCUGAAGAAUAAGCACCGGCUAACUACGUGCCAGCAGCCGCGGUAAUACGUAGGGUGCAAGCGUUAAUCGGAAUUACUGGGCGUAAAGCGUGCGCAGGCGGUUUUGUAAGUCUGAUGUGAAAUCCCCGGGCUCAACCUGGGAAUUGCAUUGGAGACUGCAAGGCUAGAAUCUGGCAGAGGGGGGUAGAAUUCCACGUGUAGCAGUGAAAUGCGUAGAUAUGUGGAGGAACACCGAUGGCGAAGGCAGCCCCCUGGGUCAAGAUUGACGCUCAUGCACGAAAGCGUGGGGAGCAAACAGGAUUAGAAACCCGGGUAGUCCCAUG